Molecule: long non-coding RNA, 679 nt
Filed under: Capra hircus (goat)
Lineage: Eukaryota; Metazoa; Chordata; Mammalia; Artiodactyla; Bovidae
Description: lncRNA (ENSCHIG00000004846.1)
Source: RNAcentral
AUGUCACGACGUACUUCACCCAUGUCACCAAGAGCUGCCCUGAGAGGACCAUGGGGAUUUAGGGCUUGUGCAGUUGAAAGCUGAGUCAUCCAUCUUGGCAACAGGACCUGAUUAACCCUGGGCUAAUUUUAGAUUUCCUCACAAUUGCUCAUCUUAAUAUAGAACAGCCCCUAAGGAUCGUGUUGGCCAAUGUUUUGUUUUUGUUUGAUGUGACCAGAAAAAAAGGAGGACAGCAAAGGAGAUGAGAACAGCUACGUGUUUCAAGGUGCGGAAGCAGGCACGAUGGGGAAGGGAGUGAGACCGAGAUGGGUACCAGUCCCUCAGUGACUGACUCAAACCGGCACAUCAUGCAGCCAACACAGUGCCAAGCCUGCAGAGAAUGGUUCUUGCUCAUCAUACGUCUACUCUUGAGAUUUGAGGUGUAGUUCAGCGGGCUUCUCUGCUUUAAAGGAAGAAACCAACACAAAGCUUUGCUCAGCUACUUAUGAAUCAAUCCAGUUCUGACUUGCAUUAUUGAUUUGUUGCGUGACCUUGAGGUCCCUCAGCCUAAGUUUUUGCUUCUAUAAAAUGGGGAGAAAUACAAGCAUACCUUGGAGAUACUGAGGGUCCCUCACCAUACCACCACAAUAAAGCCAAUAUCACGUGAAUUUUAUGGUUUCUGAGUGUGCAUAAAAGUUGC